RNAcentral lists this ribosomal RNA (458 nucleotides) under uncultured bacterium. Its description in RNAcentral is "bacterial SSU rRNA". It matches the Rfam family "Bacterial small subunit ribosomal RNA", at positions 338 to 795 of the family's 1533-position model. The record is from RNAcentral.
CCUACGGGUGGCAGCAGUGAGGAAUAUUGGUCAAUGGGCGCAAGCCUGAACCAGCGACGCCGCGUGCGGGAUGAAGGGGCUUUGCCUCGUAAACCGCUGUCGGAUGGGACGAAAGAUAGCUUUGAGCUAUUGGGACGGUACCAUCAAAGGAAGGAUCGGCUAACUACGUGCCAGCAGCCGCGGUAAUACGUAGGAUCCGAGCGUUGUCCGGAGUUACUGGGUGUAAAGGGUGCGUAGGCUGUUCUGUGCGUCAGAGGUGAAAUCCACGGGCUUAACUCGUGGGGUGCCUUUGAUACGGCAGGGCUUGAGUACGAGAGAGGUGCGUGGAAUUCCUGGUGUAGCAGUGAAAUGCGUAGAUAUCAGGAGGAACACCGGUGGCGAAGGCGGCGCACUGGCUCGUAACUGACGCUGAGGCACGAAAGCGUGGGGAUCAAACAGGAUUAGAUACCCUUGUAGUC